This 490-nucleotide ribosomal RNA is filed under the name uncultured bacterium. RNAcentral's name for it is "partial 16S ribosomal RNA". It matches the Rfam family "Bacterial small subunit ribosomal RNA", at positions 30 to 507 of the family's 1533-position model. The record is from RNAcentral.
AUUGAACGCUGGCGGCAGGCCUAACACAUGCAAGUCGAACGGUAACAGGAAGAAGCUUGCUUCUUUGCUGACGAGUGGCGGACGGGUGAGUAAUGUCUGGGAAACUGCCUGAUGGAGGGGGAUAACUACUGGAAACGGUAGCUAAUACCGCAUAACGUCGCAAGACCAAAAAGGGGGACCUUCGGGCCUCUUGCCCUCGGAUGUGCCCAGAUGGGAUUAGCUAGUAGGUGGGGUAACGGCUCACCUAGGCGACGAUCCCUAGCUGGUCUGAGAGGAUGACCAGCCACACUGGAACUGAGACACGGUCCAGACUCCUACGGGAGGCAGCAGUGGGGAAUAUUGCACAAUGGGCGCAAGCCUGAUGCAGCCAUGCCGCGUGUAUGAAGAAGGCCUUCGGGUUGUAAAGUACUUUCAGCGGGGAGGAAGGGAGUAAAGUUAAUACCUUGGCUCAUUGACGUUACCCGCAGAAGAAGCACCGGCUAACUCCGUG